GGCGGGGGGCGCGGCCUCGCCCGCCGGUCGCGACGUCGCCGCCGCCGCCAUGCGCCGCUGAGGCGGGCGCUGGCCGGGCCUCGCCAUGGGGGCGCCGCGGCCCAACGGCAGCCUUGGCCUCACCGAGGGCCCCCCGCAGCCGGGCGGGGGGGCGGCGGCGGGGCCGGGAGACCGCGGCUGCGAGAACGGGGCUCUCAUGGACAGCUUCGGCAUCUUCCUGCAGGGGCUCCUGGGCGUCGUGGCCUUCAGCACCCUCAUGCUGAAACGCUUCCGAGAACCAAAGCAUGAAAGACGGCCCUGGAAGAUAUGGUUUUUAGAUACUUCCAAGCAAGCCAUAGGGAUGUUAUUCAUCCACUUCGCAAAUGUCUAUUUAUCAGACCUUACAGAAGAAGACCCCUGUUCAUUGUACCUUAUCAACUUCUUGUUAGAUGCCACAUUAGGAAUGCUGUUAAUCUACAUUGGCAUACGUGCAGUCAGCAGCAUUGUGGAGUGGCAGCAGUGGGACACCCUUCGCUUUGGCGAAUACGGUGACCCCGUGCAGUGCAGUGCUUGGAUGGGCCAGUGUGCUCUGUACAUAAUGAUUAUGACAUUUGAGAAAACCAUCAUCAUUAUAGUGCUGCUUAUACCUCAGUGGAAAGAGGUAGCUUUAUUGAAUCCCAUAGAGAACCCCCAGCUGGAGCUGGCUAUCGUCAUGCUGAUAGUUCCCUUCUUUGUUAAUGCGUUAAUGUUCUGGGUAGUAGAUAAUUUCCUUAUGAAGAAAGGGAAGACAAAAGCUAAACUUGAAGAAAAGGAAGCAGGUCAAGAUUCCAGAAAUGGAAGUAAAGUCCGAUACAGGAGAGCAGCAUCACAUGAAGAGUCAGAGUCAGAAAUCCUUAUUUCAGCAGAUGAUGAGAUGGAGGAAUCGGACACUGAAGAGGACCUGCGUAGACUGACCAACUUAAAGCCCAUUAAGAAAAAGAAGCAUCGCUUUGGUCUGCCUGUAUGACACAUUCCUGACCUGUGUAUUUGCAGGUUUCGUCACAAAAACUUCAGUCAGUGGGUUUUAAUGUUGCAAUUGCAUCUCCCUUUUCAUACAAACUGACUUAAAAGCAAGGUCUGCCAACAGAAUGCAAACAGUUGGAAGACUUCCAGUUCAGUUGCACUACAGACACACUGACCAAUUAUGCAAGAAUGUCUUUUCAUCCUGUGUGAAGAGCACAGCGUCCGUCAGGCCUGGUCGCUAAGAGGAUUUGUAUCUGACGUUUCAGAGAAGAUCAUAGAAAACAGGGCAAUCUUUCACUUGUGGUUACUGAUGAUACAGUUUAAGAUGUUCUCAAAAAGGCAUCAGAAUCAACUAAGUUAAAGCCAGCCCCUGUGAAAAAGAAGCGUCCCCCUGUGAAGGAAGAAGACCUCAAAGGAGCCAGAGGAAACCUUUCCAAAAACCAGGAAAUUAAAUCCAAAACCUACCAAGUGAUGAAGCAGUGUG
Molecule: RNA transcript, 1465 nt
Organism: Columba livia (rock pigeon)
Lineage: Eukaryota; Metazoa; Chordata; Aves; Columbiformes; Columbidae
Gene: STIMATE
Gene name: STIM activating enhancer
Exons: 9
Source: RefSeq, a predicted model, not a curated record